AUAUUAAAAAUUAACUGCUUAUUUUUCAUUACAAAAGUGUAGGCCGAAGCCUGUUAGAGUUAGUGGGCCAAAGCUAGUGUCGCCCUGAAGAGAGUGAGUAGGCCGAAGCCUGUUAGUGUUAGUUUGCCUCAGUGAGGGAACUCCUCCGUCAGUGUCAGGAGGCUUCUCUGUGAGGUAGGUCUCACAGUAUGAGGAAGGCCUGAUAUGGGAAGGCCAUGUAUGAGAGAAGCCUCCAGUAUAAAGGCUGCUAAUGAUGGAUGUCAUUAUGGUGUGCAUACUGAAAACUACAACUGGUGACAAAUUAAACAUUUUCAUCUACUAACUUCAAGGGUGGAAAGGCGAUAAAUAAAAAUACCCCAAAUCACCCAACUGUGAGAAUCAGGGUAGGAUGGAAUAUGAGUCACAAGUACAGCAACCUUUGGAGGAGAUAUAAGCUCACUGUUGCUGACUAUACCAACUCCUGAAGAAGGGGAUUUUUCCCCCGAAACCCUAUACCCGGGAACCCCUGUAGACUUUACUUGGGACUUUAUUUGGACAUUACUUGCGAAGACUUUCUUGAGAGCAGUGCUCCAUCAUUAUUUUCUUCAUUCUGUAUACAGCAACAUGACCAACCGCCUGUUUACUUUGUUUGGAAGAUAUUUUCAUUGAUUAUGUAUCCCUGAAGCCUAUAUACAUUGGAACCAAUAUCAGACUUAGAUAACUUUUCUGUUAGAGCUGUUGCUUCUUUUCAUUUUGUCUGGUACUACUGAAUUGAGCUUUGUACUGGGAAUUUUAAUAAUACUAUAUGCUAUUUGGAUAUUAUAUUUUCUUUGUACAUAGACCAUCUUGUGUUUGUGUAUCUACUCCUUUCCCCCCACCUCCACAUAAUAGUAACAGUAGUAGUAGUAGUAAUGAUAAUGAUAAUGAUAAUAAUAAUAAUUUUAUUUCUUAUCCACCUCUCCUUGUGGCUUGAGGAGGGCUACAGAAUAAUGAAAACACAUAAACCUUGUAAAAAUACUACAAUACACAUAUUAAAAUGUAUUUCUAUAAACAAUGGCUUCAAGAUACCAGAAUUUCCACUUCAGCCUCACCCCUGGAUUUAGAACAGAGAUCAGCCUAUUCUUUAAUCAAGGAGUCUUCUCCUUCUCAGCCCUGAUAUCUACCAGCAAACAUUGUUUCCCUUGAAACAACCACUUCCUAUGUUAAUGAGUUCCCGUGGUCAGAAAGGGGUGGGGCGGAUAGAGAAGCAGGCUCAAAAAUUCCACCAAUGAAGAGCCUUAUUACGUAUCCCACCACACACUUUACACCAGCAAGACUGUGGGUCAUAAUAUGUAUCAAUCAGAGUGAUGCCUAUUAGUUCAACAAUUAAUGUAUUGUGGAUCAACAAAACUAUGGAUUGUAUCUUGGACCAAUCGCAGCAAUGUCUAUUAUUUCAAAUGUCUGCCCAUGCCUGUAACUGUGAAUUAUGUCAGAUUUAGUAUUUCUUCCCCUGACAUCCUACUUUGGCCAAUGAAGGCUGGAAGGUUGACAGUACAAGCCAUGGUGGGGUGAGCUCCUGCCAUCAGCCCUAGCUUUUGCUUCCCUAGCAGUUCGAAAACAGCAAAGAGUAGAUAAAGAGAUCGCUUUGGCAGGGAGGUAAAAGGCGUCCCUGAAAAACAUGCUGGUAAUUCAAUCAGGAAGGUGUCCAUGGCUCCUUGGCAUGGAAAAAUGAAACAAUAGCACCUCCCCAUGGCUGAGUCGAGCACAGCCUCCAGAUGCCAGAGAUGGAAAAAUGAGGGAAACCUUGCCUCCGUUUAUGUACUGUCUGUCUUUGUCAAUUGUAUAACGGCACUGAAUAUUUGCCAUAUAUGUACCCGUAAUCCACUCUGAGUCUCCUUGGGGAGAUAUAAAUAAAUAAAGAUUGUUGUUAUUGUUGUUAUUAUUAUUGUUGUUGUUAAGCAAUAAACAAUUUCUGACCUUG
Molecule: long non-coding RNA, 1939 nt
Organism: Anolis carolinensis (green anole)
Lineage: Eukaryota; Metazoa; Chordata; Lepidosauria; Squamata; Anolidae
Exons: 3
Source: RefSeq, a predicted model, not a curated record